GAUGAACGCUGGCGGCGUGCUUAACACAUGCAAGUCGAACGGAAAGGCCAGUGCUUGCACUGGUACUCGAGUGGCGAACGGGUGAGUAACACGUGGGUGAUCUGCCCUGCACUUCGGGAUAAGCCUGGGAAACUGGGUCUAAUACCGGAUAGGACAAUGGUUUGGAUGCCGUUGUGGAAAGUUUUUUCGGUGUGGGAUGAGCUCGCGGCCUAUCAGCUUGUUGGUGGGGUAAUGGCCUACCAAGGCGUCGACGGGUAGCCGGCCUGAGAGGGUGUACGGCAAGAGGGGGAAAGAGAAAGGACCCAGCUACAGAGGGGAGGAGGAAGGGGGAAAGGUGGAAAAAGGGGGGAAGGCUGGAUGAGGGGGGGCGGGGGGGGGGAGGGGGGCUUUGGGGUGGGAAACUCCUUUGGGAGGGGAGAAAGGGAAUGUGGGAGGGUACCGGAAGAAGAAGCACGGGAAAACUAAGUG
Molecule: ribosomal RNA, 468 nt
Filed under: uncultured bacterium
Lineage: Bacteria
Description: partial 16S ribosomal RNA
Rfam family: Bacterial small subunit ribosomal RNA (bases 20-330)
Source: RNAcentral